Molecule: non-coding RNA, 551 nt
Filed under: Pongo abelii (Sumatran orangutan)
Lineage: Eukaryota; Metazoa; Chordata; Mammalia; Primates; Hominidae
Source: RNAcentral
AAGGGGAGUACCUCCCAGCCUCACCUCCCCUGCCCACCAAUUCCCCUCUACCUAAGGCAGCAGCGCUCAGAAGCUGGGGGACAGGGACAUAGGAUGUCUGGUCUGAAUGGGGAGUUCAAAAGCCCUCUGCUGGGGCCUGAACUGCCUCAGGGAGUUCCAUUGCCUUCAAUGCAACAGAUGUCUAGGUCUUGGCAGGAUCUAGUUGGGGGACUGCUUCUGAGCCAUGCAGAACCCACUCUGGGGUGGGUGGGGGGCCCUAAGCACUAUCGUUUCCCUGCCUAGGUGGCUCCAGAAGGAGGAAGCAUCCACCCAGCAUUGGGAAAGGGCUGCCUGUGAAAGUGAGGCCCCCUCUGUCCCCUCCAUUGGCUUCCUGCCCAGGUCGAGGGGAGAAUUCAAGGCCCCUUGGGCAUCUGCCCUUGGGUUCUUGAAGGGACUAAAGUUGGUGCCUAGACGCCUGACUUGGGGGUGUUCCCCAGCGUGGCAUGCCUCAGGCCACAGAGGCCAGGGUCUCUAGGGCAGAGCCACAAUCCACACUGAAUAGGACCCCGUAA